GUCAGGACAGCCCCCGUCAGGACAGCCCCCGUCAGGACAGUGCUCAACCUGCGAGGCAAAGAAGGAGGCGUGGUCUGCCGGAUCCCGUAACAAUUCAAAAUGAAGGGCGAAUACCAAAACCCAAAAAAACAUUUACAUUUCCAACGGGACAAUUAGCGAAAGGACGAGGACGCGGACGCAUACAACGGUAUUGAUGAAGCUGGUUGAGGAUGGCGCUGUACUGCACCUUGUUAUGCCGCUGAUAUUUGUGUCUUUAUUGUAAAUUUAUUGUCAAUAUGAUUUUAAUUUAUAAUUAGGUUGAAUACAUAAAUUUCUGUUUUAAGUUGAGUUUUUGAUUAUGAACGUUCAAUAUUUGAAUUACUGAUGACAAACUAAUGAUUUGUGAAGUACUAUAUAAUAUUUGAUUAUUGGUACUUAUUAUUUUA
Beta vulgaris subsp. vulgaris (sugar beet) is the source of this 425-nucleotide long non-coding RNA. RefSeq lists it as uncharacterized. The transcript is spliced from 2 exons. NCBI's taxonomy places the organism in Eukaryota, Viridiplantae, Streptophyta, Magnoliopsida, Caryophyllales, Amaranthaceae. The record is from RefSeq and is a predicted model, not a curated record.